UACGAAGGGGGCAAGCGUUGUUCGGAAUUACUGGGCGUAAAGGGCGCGUAGGCGGCCGAUCAAGUCAGGCGUGAAAUUCCCGGGCUCAACCUGGGGGCUGCGCUUGAUACUGAUUGGCUUGAAUGCGGGAGAGGAUAGUGGAAUUCCCAGUGUAGAGGUGAAAUUCGUAGAUAUUGGGAAGAACACCGGUGGCGAAGGCGACUACCUGGCCUGUUCUUGACGCUGAGGCGCGAAAGCUAGGGGAGCAAACGGG
RNAcentral lists this ribosomal RNA (253 nucleotides) under uncultured bacterium. RNAcentral's name for it is "partial 16S ribosomal RNA". It matches the Rfam family "Bacterial small subunit ribosomal RNA", at positions 524 to 776 of the family's 1533-position model. The record is from RNAcentral.